Molecule: transfer RNA, 86 nt
Filed under: Streptomyces marincola
Lineage: Bacteria; Bacillati; Actinomycetota; Actinomycetes; Kitasatosporales; Streptomycetaceae
Description: tRNA-Leu
Rfam family: tRNA
About the family: Transfer RNA (tRNA) molecules are approximately 80 nucleotides in length. Their secondary structure includes four short double-helical elements and three loops (D, anti-codon, and T loops).
Source: RNAcentral
GCCGGGUUGGUGGAAGGGCAGACACGGAGGUCUCAAACACCUCUGCUCGCAAGAGCGUGCGGGUUCAAAUCCCGCACCCGGCACCC